This 385-nucleotide ribosomal RNA is filed under the name uncultured bacterium. RNAcentral's name for it is "bacterial SSU rRNA". It matches the Rfam family "Bacterial small subunit ribosomal RNA", at positions 30 to 416 of the family's 1533-position model. The record is from RNAcentral.
AUUGAACGCUGGCGGCAUGCCUUACACAUGCAAGUCGAACGGCAGCACGGGAGCAAUCCUGGUGGCGAGUGGCGAACGGGUGAGUAAUAUAUCGGAACGUGCCCAGUCGUGGGGAUAACGUAGCGAAAGCUACGCUAAUACCGCAUACGAUCUAUGGAUGAAAGCGGGGGAUCGCAAGACCUCGCGCGAUUGGAGCGGCCGAUAUCAGAUUAGGUAGUUGGUGAGGUAAAGGCUCACCAAGCCGACGAUCUGUAGCUGGUCUGAGAGGACGACCAGCCACACUGGGACUGAGACACGGCCCAGACUCCUACGGGAGGCAGCAGUGGGGAAUUUUGGGCAAUGGGCGCAAGCCUGAUCCAGCAAUGCCGCGUGCAGGAUGAAGGCC